RNAcentral lists this ribosomal RNA (254 nucleotides) under uncultured bacterium. RNAcentral's name for it is "partial 16S ribosomal RNA". It matches the Rfam family "Bacterial small subunit ribosomal RNA", at positions 99 to 353 of the family's 1533-position model. The record is from RNAcentral.
CGGACGGGUGAGUAAUGUCUGGGAAACUGCCUGAUGGAGGGGGAGUAACUACUGGAAACGGUAGCUAAUACUCGCAUACGUCGCAAGACCAAAGAGGGGGACCUUCGGGCCUCUUGCCAUCGGAUGUGCCCAGAUGGGAUUAGCUAGUAGGUGGGGUAACGGCUCACCUAGGCGACGAUCCCUAGCUGGUCUGAGAGGAUGACCAGCCACACUGGAACUGAGACACGGUCCAGACUCCUACGGGAGGCAGCAUG